AAGUCGUAACAAGGUUUCCGUAGGUGAACCUGCGGAAGGAUCAUUACAUUCAGUAGCCUAGCUACUUGUUUACACCCUUGUUUUUUGCGUACCUAUUGUUUCCUCGGUAGGCUUGCCUGCCGGUUGGACAAAACUUAUAACCUUUUUAAAUCUUCAAUCAGCGUCUGAAUUAUACAUAAUAAUUACAACUUUCAACAACGGAUCUCUUGGUUCUG
RNAcentral lists this unclassified non-coding RNA (215 nucleotides) under air metagenome. RNAcentral's name for it is "partial contains small subunit ribosomal RNA, internal transcribed spacer 1, and 5.8S ribosomal RNA". The stretch from base 1 to 46 matches the Rfam family "Eukaryotic small subunit ribosomal RNA", at positions 1786 to 1831 of the family's 1831-position model. The record is from RNAcentral.